RNAcentral lists this transfer RNA (75 nucleotides) under Alphaproteobacteria bacterium. RNAcentral describes it as "tRNA-Thr". It matches the Rfam family "tRNA". Rfam says of the family: Transfer RNA (tRNA) molecules are approximately 80 nucleotides in length. Their secondary structure includes four short double-helical elements and three loops (D, anti-codon, and T loops). Lineage: Bacteria; Pseudomonadati; Pseudomonadota; Alphaproteobacteria. The record is from RNAcentral.
GCCCACAUAGCACAGCGGUAGUGCAACCGAUUUGUAAUCGGUAGGUCGGGAGUUCAAUCCUCUCUGUGGGCACCA